RNAcentral lists this ribosomal RNA (600 nucleotides) under uncultured Alphaproteobacteria bacterium. RNAcentral's name for it is "bacterial SSU rRNA". It matches the Rfam family "Bacterial small subunit ribosomal RNA", at positions 54 to 699 of the family's 1533-position model. The record is from RNAcentral. Lineage: Bacteria; Pseudomonadati; Pseudomonadota; Alphaproteobacteria.
CAUGCAAGUCGAACGAAGUAGCAAUACUUAGUGGCAGACGGGUGAGUAACAUGUAGGUAUCUUCCCUAUGGUGAGGAAUAACACGAGGAAACUUGUGCUAAUACCUCAUAAGUCUUUACGGAGAAAGCUUUAUGCGCCAUUGGAUGAGCCUGCACUUGAUUAGUUUGUUGGUGGGGUAAUGGCCUACCAAGACAAUGAUCAAUAGCUGAUUUGAGAGGAUGAUCAGCCACAUUGGGACUGAGACACGGCCCAAACUCCUACGGGAGGCAGCAGUAGGGAAUCUUGCACAAUGGGGGAAACCCUGAUGCAGCGAUGCCGCGUGAGUGAAGAAGGCCUUUGGGUUGUAAAGCUCUUUCGUCGGGGAAGAAAAUGACUGUACCCGAAUAAGAAGGUCCGGCUAACUUCGUGCCAGCAGCCGCGGUAAUACGAAGGGACCUAGCGUAGUUCGGAAUUACUGGGCUUAAAGAGUUCGUAGGUGGUUAAAAAAGUUGGUGGUGAAAUCCCAGAGCUUAACUCUGGAACUGCCAUCAAAACUUUUUAGCUAGAGUAUGAUAGAGGAAAGCAGAAUUUCUAGUGUAGAGGUGAAAUUCGUAGAUAUUA